UUUCCAAGGGUGUGAAAAGAUAAGAACCAUGGGCUUAAGGUGUGGACCCAAAAGAGAUAUUUGAGAAGGGGAGUCUUACGUGUUUAUUUCUCGUUUCAAAAGCUAACAUCAUCGCCCCUUAACCUCGUGGUCGGAACACCACCCUCCGCCGCACCGGAAAUCGCCUAUGGCGGAGGCGGGAGAGCCAAACACUAUAAAACCUAUAUCAUUUGUCUUGUUCCAAAGUCAUCUAUCCGACUUCACCAUCAAUUUCAUCUAAUUCCUAACCAAUCAACCAAAUCGAGCCUAAUGUCACAAGAACCCUAAAUCAAUCUUCCAGAAAUAAAACGCAAGGGAAAGGAAGUUGAUGCCAACUCAUUUAGGGAUUCAAUUCCCUAGGCUAAGGUCUACAUCUUGGCAACAAGUUGAAGAUGAACUGAAGGAGAAAUGCAAAAGAGCUUAUUGGGCCGGAGUAGCUCUGACGUCUCUUCAAAGCGAUUGACGAUAAGCUCGAAUAUUCAAACUCCUAUGUUACUUCAGGCCCAAAGGGAAUUUAACAUGGCAUGGCAGGUGGAUAGGUGGAGCAUGGAAGAAUCAUUAGGUUAAGGCUGCCAUUCAAAGCAAGAUGCCUUCUUUUUCCUUUUGAUCAAAACCAUGUAACCAUGUAACCAUGUGAUCCCAUGUGAUGGGAUAGGAUGUAGCAUGGUGCUAUGAUGUAAUAACAUUUAUGGAUGGAUUAGUUCAUUUAUAAAUGAUCCAUGCACCAUUGAUGCUUAUAAUGAAGUAUGCUCAUGGAUAUGCGUUAAUGAAAAACAAUGUUUAUGGAUUUACUUA
Long non-coding RNA from Lathyrus oleraceus (garden pea), 813 nucleotides. RefSeq lists it as uncharacterized. The transcript is spliced from 2 exons. Lineage: Eukaryota; Viridiplantae; Streptophyta; Magnoliopsida; Fabales; Fabaceae. The record is from RefSeq and is a predicted model, not a curated record.